This is a long non-coding RNA of Neopsephotus bourkii (Bourke's parrot), 383 nucleotides long. RefSeq lists it as uncharacterized. Lineage: Eukaryota; Metazoa; Chordata; Aves; Psittaciformes; Psittacidae. The transcript is spliced from 3 exons. The record is from RefSeq and is a predicted model, not a curated record.
AUCCAAACUUUUAAGAUACAAGAUUUGAGAUUUUGGCUAUCCUACUGGAUUUUAUCCAGGCUCCAAAUGAACAUGAAAAAUAUUCCCCAUUUCAAGGCAAUGAAUGGGACACAGUCAAAGACUUACCUUGGUUUCCUCUUCUAGCUGUCUCUUAAGCUCUUCAAUCUGUUGCGUAAAUGAUGUUUUUCCCCGGGACAGCUGACUUAUCAACGACUCCUUCUCUUCAAGUUGUCUUAUAAAUUCACCUGCCAUAGGAUAUAACCAAGAAAAGUCUGGCCUGACUGUGCACAUACCAUUCUCACUCUGGAGUUUUGUCUUCUGAGUAGUGAGGUCAUUCAUGAGGCGAGUCAUUUCCUCCAGUUUCGUUUUUGUCUCAUUCAGAU